Molecule: ribosomal RNA, 425 nt
Filed under: uncultured bacterium
Lineage: Bacteria
Description: bacterial SSU rRNA
Rfam family: Bacterial small subunit ribosomal RNA
Source: RNAcentral
UCGGGAAUCUUGGGCAAUGGGCGCAAGCCUGACCCAGCGACGCCGCGUGAGGGAUGAAGGCCUUCGGGUCGUAAACCUCUGUCAGGAGGGAAGAACGGCGGUGAGGUGAACAAUCUCGCUGUCUGACGGUACCUCCGAAGGAAGCGCAGGCUAACUCCGUGCCAGCAGCCGCGGUAAUACGGAGGGCGCAAGCGUUGUUCGGAAUCACUGGGCGUAAAGCGCGUGUAGGCGGCUUGGCAAGUCGGAUGUGAAAUCCCGAGGCUCAACCUCGGAACUGCACUCGAAACUGCCUGGCUCGAGUCCCGGAGAGGGUGGCGGAAUUCCCGGUGUAGGGGUGAAAUCCGUAGAUAUCGGGAGGAACACCAGUGGCGAAGGCGGCCACCUGGACGGUGACUGACGCUGAGACGCGAAAGCGUGGGGAGCAA